GGAUGAAGAACGUAGCGAAAUGCGAUAAGUAAUGUGAAUUGCAGAAUUCAGUGAAUCAUCGAAUCUUUGAACGCACAUUGCGCCCUUUGGUAUUCCGAAGGGCAUGCCUGUUCGAGCGUCAUUUCAAACCUCAAGCUCACGCUUGGUAUUGGGCGCCGUCCGCGAGGACGCGCCAGAAACCCGUAGGCAGCGGUGCCCGUCUCCCAGCGUAGUCAAUCUACCCGCUUCGGAGCGCGCGGCAUCGCCCGCCGGACGAACAACCACUUCUUCUAUGGUUUGACCUCGGAUCAGGUAGGGAUACCCGCUGAACUUAAGCAUAUCAAUAAGCGGAGGA
This 334-nucleotide unclassified non-coding RNA is filed under the name soil metagenome. RNAcentral's name for it is "partial contains 5.8S ribosomal RNA, internal transcribed spacer 2, and large subunit ribosomal RNA". The stretch from base 2 to 121 matches the Rfam family "5.8S ribosomal RNA", at positions 35 to 154 of the family's 154-position model. The record is from RNAcentral.